Long non-coding RNA from Felis catus (domestic cat), 3251 nucleotides. RefSeq lists it as uncharacterized. The transcript has 3 exons. The record is from RefSeq and is a predicted model, not a curated record. NCBI's taxonomy places the organism in Eukaryota, Metazoa, Chordata, Mammalia, Carnivora, Felidae.
AGCAGGCUCCAGGCUCCCAGCUGUCAGCACAGAGCCCGACAUGGGGCUCGAACUCACGGACUGCGAGAUCAUGACCUGAGCUGAAGUCAGACACUCAACUGACUGAGCCACCCAGGCACCCCGGUAUAAAUCUUAUAAAACAUGGGAAUUAAACUGAAAUCAGUAAAACACUGAUGAAAGAUAUCAAAGGAAAUAUAUGAAGUUGCAGAUUAGUGAAGAAAAACUAUUACUGUUUUUCAAAACAGACCAAAGUGGAUUCACUCUAUCCUCUCUUUUAUGGUGGGCCUUGGGUGCAAGAGCUUAUUACAGAGUUUCUAUAUUACAAAGGGACCCAUGAAAAGAGACGGGUAGGAUUGGUAGGCAGACUAGAAAUCAUUUUUUGUUUGUUUGUUUUGGUUGUUCAUUGGUUUGUUUGAGAUAAAAAGGAUAGUGAUGCACUUUGUUUCUAAGCUUGUAAUCAGAACUUUGAAUGUAAUCUAUAAGUAUGUUCUUCCAAAGCGAAAGCCUGUCCCCUUUUAAUGUCAUUUGUAAGGUAAAGUCAGUGUGACUGUAUUUAUCUAACAAAAAAAUUUUCUAUCUAAUGUUAUCUCAUAAUUCCAUAUUUUGGUUCUGGUCAAAUCAUCUGGAGGUGAUGGAUCACAAGGAUAUAUUAACCACUCUACUCAAUUUAGCUUACAGUAGAUGCAAAUUCCAGUUAUUCAUAUUUUUCAUUUGUUCUACUCCAGAGUUUUUUGAUUCUUACCAGUGAUAUGUACCACAGUAACUUUAACUCCCUGUAGGUUAUUAUACAGUUAAUAAAAGAUCUUCCUUAAGAAAGGGAACAAUUUCAACUAAUCAGCAGUCACAGGCCCCAGGUAUUGCAUAAUUCAGUUAAAUUUUUAUUAAUUUGAUUCAAAUGCUGGGUCAACUCUAUAAUUCAAUUCUCUUACUCCCUGACUGCUGAAAUAUUAAGUCAAGAAACUGAACUAAUUGAUUACAUUUCUAGUUCAUGUUAUCCACCCAUGAAAUAGGUGUGUUCAUUGCUGUUAAACAAGUUUUAUGUUUUACUCUAAAUAUUUUGUGUUUCUCCAGCACUCAAUCACCCCACCCAUGAUUUUCUUUGAUAAUAUCCUUCUUUCUUCAUUGGAAAGAUUGAGGACUAUCACAUCAAUUCUAUUAAUUUUCCUCUUCAUUGGAAAAAUGUUUUUGAAUUUUUACAUACUUUCCAUUUUCCUUCUAAUCUCAGAAAAGAAAAUUUCCUCGUUUUGUUAAUUCUAAUGCUUGUGCCUUCCAUCUCUUCUCACCUUUUGGUGAUAUUUUGCUUCAUCAAUUAUAUCCUUGUAUCAUCAGUCUCUUUCCAUUCUCCUCACUUUCCCUCAACAGACAUGUUUCUUUCGUUAAUCUUGUUAUCUUAUUUAUUUGCCCUUCAAUAGCUCACGGUAUUUAAAUAGCACUUUAUAAAGUAAUAUAUGCCUUACAUUGUCUAAACUAUAUGAAAAAGAUUGUACACUUGACUCUUGUAGCUUAGGAGCCUUACUGAGAAUUAGUAGUAAAACUAACCUUAACCGUGCGAUUCAUUUUGGCAUAUGUACUUUUAAAUGAUUGAAAAUAGGUUUAUGUUAAUUAUUUAUGUGAUUAGAUGCAUAUUCUAAUUUUACUAAUUUAACAACAAAUUAUUUUCCUCUAUUCAUAUUUACCCAAGAGUGAUCUAUUAGACAAAAAUUGAUAUAAUUUACCAGAAAAAAUGGGUGUCAUUAUUCUUGCAGGAAGAACCCCCUCUUGGGUACUUUUGUAUCUCUCUGGGCUUAUGAUUUUCUACCCUGAAAAUCAGACUCAUUAUUUCAGUGACUUUUUUGUAGUUAUACUACAAAAUACACUACUGAGAUACUUUGCUGUCUCAGAAAUUAAUCAAGGCCAACCCUAUCCUACCAAACCUAGAAAUAACAGCAAUAUAACCUUUUGAAAACCAGUUAAAAAAACCCUCAUGCUGCUUUAUAUCACUUAAAUACCACUAUGCCAUAAUGAAAUAGCCAAACAACUAUGUUUUCAUCGCAUGGCAAAAAUAUAUGUCUCAUGAGAUUAUGAGAACUGUUGUGAUUAAAACACAUCACUAACACAAUCAAAGCAUUAUUACCUAUGACAAUCUGUUGGCAUAUGGGAAUAGCAUCUUCUAUAGAACAAGAGAACAGGGUUGCCUGGGUGGCUUAGUUGCUUGAGCAUCCGACUUCAGCUUAGGUCAUAAUCUCAUGGUUUUUAGGUUUGAGCCCUGCAUCAGGCUCUGUGCUGAAAGCUCAGAGCCUGGAGCCUGCUUUGGAUUCUGUGUCUUCCUCUCUCUCUCUCUGCCCUUCCCCCCUUGUGCUCUGUCUCUGUCUCUCAAAAAAUAAAUAAAUAAACAUUAAGAAAAAAAAGAACCAGAGAACAGAUUUACAUUCAUACCUAAAUAUGUAAUUCCAAGAAUUAGAGAAAUAAAUACACAGAAGAUACAUAGUAAUAAAGUUCAAAUGAAAUAUACAAAUGUUAGGUUUUUAAUGUAAUUUGGAGGCGCUUUUUUGCAGGUAAAACCUAUACAAUUAUUGAAUGUUAAAAACACAUUCUGGAGGAUUCUUGGAAGAUGGCAGAGUAAGAAGCACCAAGAAUCUGUCUCCCCAUUGAGACAACAAUACACUGGCAGAAUUUGUCUGCUGCAACUGUUUCAGAACUCUGGAAUCUAUUGAAGAUUUGCAAAUUCCAGAGGAUAUCUUGGAUGGCAAAUUGCAGUUAUUUUGGUCAAUUUCAGGUCUUAGCACAGUAGUAGCUACCAAUUCCCUACUCCUAGCCACUAUGGCAGGCAGCUGUGCACAUGUUACUGGACCAGUCUGUACAUAGCUUGCAGGAACCAAACUGGGCAAAAUAGACCCUGUCCUCCACAUCUCAAGGUCUGAUCACAGAGAUCCAGGUGUCCAUUGUUGUACCUCCUCCCAUUGUUGUAUGACCCCAUCCCCCCAGAUGGAGUGACUUUUAGAGGAUUUAAAGGGCCAACAACUUUUUCCUCUCCCAGUCAUUUUUUUCUUUCUGCCCUUUUGAGAGCAAGACAUUAAAGAUUAGGACAUUAAAAAACAACUUCACAUAUGGGGAAAAUUAGAAUGUGACUAUGCAUACUAAGAGAAAGGCUCAGAAAAGACCUGGAAGACCUUAAUUUUUUUUUUUUUUACAUUUUUAUUCAUUUUUGCGAGACAGAAGGAGACAGAGUAUGAGCGGGGAGGGGCAGAGAGAGAGGGAGACACAGAAUCUGA